GACGAACGCUGGCGGCGUGCUUAACACAUGCAAGUCGAACGGAAAGGCCCUGCUUUUGUGGGGUGCUCGAGUGGCGAACGGGUGAGUAACACGUGAGUAACCUGCCCUUGACCUUGGGAUAACUUCAGGAAACUGGGGCUAAUACCGGAUAGGAGCUCCUGCUGCAUGGUGGGGGUUGGAAAGUUUCGGCGGUUGGGGAUGGACUCGCGGCUUAUCAGCUUGUUGGUGGGGUAGUGGCUUACCAAGGCUUUGACGGGUAGCCGGCCUGAGAGGGUGACCGGCCACAUUGGGACUGAGAUACGGCCCAGACUCCUACGGGAGGCAGCAGUGGGGAAUAUUGCACAGUGGGCGGAAGCCUGAUGCAGCAACGCCGCGUGCGGGAUGACGGCCUUCGGGUUGUAAACCGCUUUCGCCUGUGACGAAGCGUGAGUGACGGUAAUGGGUAAAGAAGCACCGGCUAACUACGUG
RNAcentral lists this ribosomal RNA (468 nucleotides) under uncultured bacterium. RNAcentral's name for it is "partial 16S ribosomal RNA". It matches the Rfam family "Bacterial small subunit ribosomal RNA", at positions 28 to 507 of the family's 1533-position model. The record is from RNAcentral.